RNAcentral lists this ribosomal RNA (533 nucleotides) under Enterobacter hormaechei. Its description in RNAcentral is "bacterial SSU rRNA". It matches the Rfam family "Bacterial small subunit ribosomal RNA", at positions 1010 to 1533 of the family's 1533-position model. The record is from RNAcentral. Lineage: Bacteria; Pseudomonadati; Pseudomonadota; Gammaproteobacteria; Enterobacterales; Enterobacteriaceae.
UUUGGUGCCUUCGGGAACUCUGAGACAGGUGCUGCAUGGCUGUCGUCAGCUCGUGUUGUGAAAUGUUGGGUUAAGUCCCGCAACGAGCGCAACCCUUAUCCUUUGUUGCCAGCGGUCCGGCCGGGAACUCAAAGGAGACUGCCAGUGAUAAACUGGAGGAAGGUGGGGAUGACGUCAAGUCAUCAUGGCCCUUACGAGUAGGGCUACACACGUGCUACAAUGGCGCAUACAAAGAGAAGCGACCUCGCGAGAGCAAGCGGACCUCAUAAAGUGCGUCGUAGUCCGGAUUGGAGUCUGCAACUCGACUCCAUGAAGUCGGAAUCGCUAGUAAUCGUGGAUCAGAAUGCCACGGUGAAUACGUUCCCGGGCCUUGUACACACCGCCCGUCACACCAUGGGAGUGGGUUGCAAAAGAAGUAGGUAGCUUAACCUUCGGGAGGGCGCUUACCACUUUGUGAUUCAUGACUGGGGUGAAGUCGUAACAAGGUAACCGUAGGGGAACCUGCGGUUGGAUCACCUCCUUACCUCAAAGAA